This 165-nucleotide ribosomal RNA is filed under the name Klebsiella pneumoniae subsp. pneumoniae. RNAcentral describes it as "partial 16S ribosomal RNA". It matches the Rfam family "Bacterial small subunit ribosomal RNA", at positions 1050 to 1215 of the family's 1533-position model. Lineage: Bacteria; Pseudomonadati; Pseudomonadota; Gammaproteobacteria; Enterobacterales; Enterobacteriaceae. The record is from RNAcentral.
UGUCGUCAGCUCGUGUUGUGAAAUGUUGGGUUAAGUCCCGCAACGAGCGCAACCCUUAUCCUUUGUUGCCAGCGGUUCGGCCGGGAACUCAAAGGAGACUGCCAGUGAUAAACUGGAGGAAGGUGGGGAUGACGUCAAGUCAUCAUGGCCCUUAGGUCGUUAGCU